ACGAACGCUGGCGGCGUGCUUAACACAUGCAAGUCGAGCGGUAAGGCCCUUUCGGGGGUACACGAGCGGCGAACGGGUGAGUAACACGUGGGUGACCUGCCCUCAGCUCUGGGAUAAGCCUGGGAAACCGGGUCUAAUACCGGAUAUGACCCCAUGACGCAUGUUGUGGGGUGGAAAGCCUUGUGCGGCUGAGGAUGGGCCCGCGGCCUAUCAGCUUGUUGGUGGGGUGAUGGCCACCAAGGCGACGACGGGUAGCCGGCCUGAGAAGGCGACCGGCCACACUGGGACUGAGACACGGCCCAGACUCCUACGGGAGGCAGCAGUGGGGAAUCUUGCGCAAUGGGCGAAAGCCUGACGCAGCGACGCCGCGUGAGGGAUGACGGCCU
Molecule: ribosomal RNA, 386 nt
Filed under: uncultured bacterium
Lineage: Bacteria
Description: bacterial SSU rRNA
Rfam family: Bacterial small subunit ribosomal RNA
Source: RNAcentral